Molecule: ribosomal RNA, 497 nt
Filed under: uncultured bacterium
Lineage: Bacteria
Description: partial 16S ribosomal RNA
Rfam family: Bacterial small subunit ribosomal RNA
Source: RNAcentral
GAUGAACGCUGGCGGCGUGCCUAAUACAUGCAAGUCGAGCGAACGGACGAGAAGCUUGCUUCUCUGAUGUUAGCGGCGGACGGGUGAGUAACACGUGGAUAACCUACCUAUACGACUGGGAUAACUUCGGGAAACCGGAGCUACUACCGGAUAAUAUUUUGAACCGCAUGGUUCAAAAGUGAAAGACGGUCUUUCUGUCACUUAUAGAUUGCUCCGCGCUGCAUUCGCUAGUUGGUAAGGUAACGGCUUACCAAGGCAACGAUGCAUAGCCGACCUGAGAGGGUGAUCGGCCACACGGGAACUGAGACAGGUUCCAGACUCCGAGGGUAGGAAGCAGUAGGGAAUCUUCCGCAAUGGGCGAAAGCCUGACGGAGCAACGCCGCGUGAGUGAUGAAGGUGCUCGGAUCGUAAAAUUCUGUUAUUAGGGAAGAACAUAUGUGUAAGUAACUGUGCACAUCUUGACGGUACCGAAUCAGAAAGCCACGGCUAACUACGUG